Molecule: small nuclear RNA, 104 nt
Organism: Mus pahari (shrew mouse)
Lineage: Eukaryota; Metazoa; Chordata; Mammalia; Rodentia; Muridae
Source: RefSeq, a predicted model, not a curated record
AUCCUGAGCCUUAGAUAGAUAAUAAAAUUGGAAUGAUACAGAGAAGAUUAGCAUGGCCCCUGCACAAAGAUGACAUGUGAAUUCAUGAAGCAUUCUAUAUUUUU